Molecule: long non-coding RNA, 744 nt
Organism: Myiozetetes cayanensis
Lineage: Eukaryota; Metazoa; Chordata; Aves; Passeriformes; Tyrannidae
Exons: 7
Source: RefSeq, a predicted model, not a curated record
CAAAGCAAGUGUUGCUUCUGUUUUAAGAACUGAAAAUAACUUGAAAGCCAAAGAAAUCACCAUUUCCUUGGUCUUGUUUCCUUUUAGAUGGUGGAAUUGCCAGUCUGUCCGUGAGCUGAGCUGUGGCUGCAGGGCACUGUCAGAUGGUGGAAUUGCCGGUCUGUCCGUGAGCUGAGCUGUGGCUGCAGGGCACUGUCAGAUGGUGGAAUUGCCAGUCUGUCCGUGAGCUGAGCUGUGGCUGCAGGGCACUGUCAGAUGGUGGAAUUGCCAGUCUGUCCGUGAGCUGAGCUGUGGCUGCAGGGCACUGUCAGAUGGUGGAAUUGCCAGUCUGUCCGUGAGCUGAGCUGUGGCUGCAGGGCACUGUCAGAGACCGACCAAACUGGAGAAUUUGAAUCAGAGAGGAAGCGAUGCACAACAAAUGCAGGGAGAAAUGGUGGAAUGGUGAUGGAAUCCUGCAGUGGUUCGGGUUGCAAGGGACCUUAAAGCUCAUGCAGCCCCACUGCCUGAGCAGGGACACCUUCCCCUAGCCCAGGGAAAAAGGCUGGAGCAAGAGGUUCCAAAAAGAACGGGGCUUUGUGCACGACGAAACCCGGGAGUGCCCGAUCCUGCCUGGAAGGAGGGGGGGGUGAACGGGCGGUGGGCGCCGCCAUGAAAGGAGCCGAGGGGCAGGGACUUGUCCGUACAAGGAGUGUCGGGGCGUGCCCAUGGCCAUAAAAGGUAAAGGAAGGGUGGGGAUAUGCCCGA